GGUUGUAUAGUGUAGUGGUUAUCACCCUCGGUUUUGAUCCGAGUGACCCGAGUUCGAAUCUCGGUAUGACCU
The sequence is a transfer RNA, 72 nucleotides long. It matches the Rfam family "tRNA". Rfam says of the family: Transfer RNA (tRNA) molecules are approximately 80 nucleotides in length. Their secondary structure includes four short double-helical elements and three loops (D, anti-codon, and T loops). Further hydrogen bonds mediate the characteristic L-shaped molecular structure. tRNAs have two regions of fundamental functional importance: the anti-codon, which is responsible for specific mRNA codon recognition, and the 3' end, to which the tRNAs corresponding amino acid is attached (by aminoacyl-tRNA synthetases). tRNAs cope with the degeneracy of the genetic code in two manners: having more than one tRNA (with a specific anti-codon) for a particular amino acid; and 'wobble' base-pairing, i.e. permitting non-standard base-pairing at the 3rd anti-codon position. The record is from Rfam.